GCCCUUCCUACGGGAGGCAGCAGUAGGGAAUCUUCCGCAAUGGGCGAAAGCCUGACGGAGCAACGCCGCGUGAGUGAUGAAGGUCUUAGGAUCGUAAAACUCUGUUGUUAGGGAAGAACAAAUUUGUUAGUAACUGAACAAGUCUUGACGGUACCUAACCAGAAAGCCACGGCUAACUACGUGCCAGCAGCCGCGGUAAUACGUAGGUGGCAAGCGUUAUCCGGAAUUAUUGGGCGUAAAGCGCGCGUAGGCGGUUUCUUAAGUCUGAUGUGAAAGCCCACGGCUCAACCGUGGAGGGUCAUUGGAAACUGGGGAACUUGAGUGCAGAAGAGGAGAGUGGAAUUCCAUGUGUAGCGGUGAAAUGCGCAGAGAUAUGGAGGAACACCAGUGGCGAAGGCGGCUCUCUGGUCUGUAACUGACGCUGAUGUGCGAAAGCGUGGGGAUCAAACAGGAUUAGAUACCCUGGUAGUCCACGCCGUAAACGAUGAGUGCUAAGUGUUAGGGGGUUUCCGCCCCUUAGUGCUGCAGCUAACGCAUUAAGCACUCCGCCUGGGGAGUACGACCGCAAGGUUAAACUCAAAGGAAUUGACGGAAGGGC
Molecule: ribosomal RNA, 598 nt
Filed under: uncultured bacterium
Lineage: Bacteria
Description: bacterial SSU rRNA
Rfam family: Bacterial small subunit ribosomal RNA
Source: RNAcentral